This 904-nucleotide ribosomal RNA is filed under the name Rumenfilaria andersoni. RNAcentral's name for it is "partial 28S ribosomal RNA". It matches the Rfam family "Eukaryotic large subunit ribosomal RNA", at positions 65 to 674 of the family's 3401-position model. The record is from RNAcentral. Lineage: Eukaryota; Metazoa; Nematoda; Chromadorea; Rhabditida; Onchocercidae.
CUAACGAGGAUUUCCCUAGUAACGGCGAGUGAAAAGGAAAAAGCCCAGCGCUGAAUCUAAUAGGCAUAUUUUGUCUAAAUAGAAAUGUAGCGUAUAGGUAUAACUAUCCGUAACAUAUUUUUUACACCCAAAGUCCCCUUGAGCGAGGCCAUUAUCCAUAGAAGGUGCUAGACCUGUAAGGGUGAAAAAAAGUUACGGUAGGUUAUACCAUGGAGUCGGGUUGUUUGAGAUUGCAGCCCAAAGAGGGUGGUAAACCUCAUCUAAGGCUAAAUACGACCACGAGACCGAUAGCAAACAAGUACCGUGAGGGAAAGUUGCAAAGAACUUUGAAGAGAGAGUUCAAGAGGGCGUGAAACCGCUGAGAUGGAAACGGAUAGAGUUAACGAAACUUAUCGGUAUUCAACCAAUCAAAUUUAGCAUAUUAUCUUUCAUAUUAUUCCAUUAUUAAUUUUUUUUUUUUUGGGAAAAAAAAAAAAAAAAAAAAAAAAAGGGGAAAAGGGGKAUAAAAUUAUUUGGAAAAUUUUUUUUGAUAAAAAAAUAARAAWUGGGGGUUUUCCCCGAUGGUAUGCCUCGAGAGYUUCUUUUUAACAUAUWAAUACGGGGUAUUKGGGSCCAAAUAAUUUAWAAAAAAAAUURUAAAACCCCAAACCGUKGAAAAAUWUGUWUAAAAARGAGUUUUUUUUUUUUCCCAAAUAUAUGUAACAAAUUAUUGCAUCGAUUAUAAUUUCAUUAGUUACAUUUACAUGUAGUCGCAUGCGACUUUAACGGUAAAUGUUCACAUGGAAUAAAAAAUGUUUGAAAAUUAAWGAAAUUAUAAUAUUGUAUGCUUGUUACAUAUAUAUAUAUAUCUCGAUGUGAACGUUAAUCACCUAUCUGACCCGUCUUGAAACACGGACCAAGGAGU